RNAcentral lists this ribosomal RNA (253 nucleotides) under uncultured bacterium. RNAcentral's name for it is "partial 16S ribosomal RNA". It matches the Rfam family "Bacterial small subunit ribosomal RNA", at positions 524 to 776 of the family's 1533-position model. The record is from RNAcentral.
UACGGAGGGUGCGAGCGUUAAUCGGAAUUACUGGGCGUAAAGUGUGCGUAGGUGGUUGAAUAAGUUAUCUGUGAAAUCCCCGGGCUCAACCUGGGCAGGUCAGAUAAGACUGUUUAACUCGAGUAUGGGAGAGGGUAGUGGAAUUUCCGGUGUAGCGGUGAAAUGCGUAGAGAUCGGAAGGAACACCAGUGGCGAAGGCGGCUACCUGGCCUAAUACUGACGUUGAGGCACGAAAGCAUGGGGAGCAAACAGG